AACGCACAUUGCGCUCUAUGGUAUUCCGUGGAGCAUGCUUGUUUGAGAACCGUGAUCACCUCUCAAACCCACUCUCAUCCGCAAGGAUGAAGAGAAGGGUUUGGACUUUGAGCGUUCUGUUGUUUGCACUGUGUGCGCAACAGUUGUCUCCAAAGGUAUCGCCUUUGGUUUCACACGAAAGUGUGAGUGAAAACGAGGCCUCUUUGUCGCCAAGACGUGAUGAGCAUGAUCUCUGCGGAGGUUUGUGUUAGCGUCGACAUGGCACAAAUGUAAAAAUGGACUCGACCUCCCUCUGUGGUGUUGUGCAUCCUCCUCGCGAGGUCACCCUGUUGGACGUGUGGUGUGGGACGCAGCUUUUGUGUCACCAAACCACCUCCAGCUUGUAUUCCUGAACAAUGGUCUCAAAUCAAGCAAGAGGACCCGCUGAACUUAA
RNAcentral lists this unclassified non-coding RNA (433 nucleotides) under uncultured fungus. RNAcentral's name for it is "partial contains 5.8S ribosomal RNA, internal transcribed spacer 2, and large subunit ribosomal RNA". Lineage: Eukaryota; Fungi. The record is from RNAcentral.